AUUGAACGCUGGCGGCAUGCCUUACACAUGCAAGUCGAACGGCAGCACGGGAGCAAUCCUGGUGGCGAGUGGCGAACGGGUGAGUAAUAUAUCGGAACGUGCCCGGUCGUGGGGAUAACGUAGCGAAAGCUACGCUAAUACCGCAUACGAUCUACGGAUGAAAGCGGGGGAUCGCAAGACCUCGCGCGAUUGGAGCGGCCGAUAUCAGAUUAGGUAGUUGGUGAGGUAAAGGCUCACCAAGCCGACGAUCUGUAGCUGGUCUGAGAGGACGACCAGCCACACUGGGACUGAGACACGGCCCAGACUCCUACGGGAGGCAGCAGUGGGGAAUUUUGGGACAAUGGGCGGCAAGCCUGAUCCAGCAAUGCCGCGUGCAGGAUGAAGGCCUCGGUUGGUAAGUACGUCUUUGUUCGUAGGGAAGGUAAACGAACCGGACGUCC
Molecule: ribosomal RNA, 440 nt
Filed under: uncultured bacterium
Lineage: Bacteria
Description: bacterial SSU rRNA
Rfam family: Bacterial small subunit ribosomal RNA
Source: RNAcentral